GUGCUUACUUUGGCCGCACACAUACUAAAACUGGAAUGGUACAGAGAAGAUUAGCAUGGGCUCUGUGCAAGGAUGACACGCAAACUUGUGACACCUUUCAUGUUUUU
Small nuclear RNA from Hyaena hyaena (striped hyena), 107 nucleotides. The record is from RefSeq and is a predicted model, not a curated record. Lineage: Eukaryota; Metazoa; Chordata; Mammalia; Carnivora; Hyaenidae.